CUCGUAGGCGGUCCGUUGCGUCUGCCGUGAAAACCCGGAGCUCAACUCCGGGCCUGCGGUGGGUACGGGCGGACUAGAGUCCGGUAGGGGAGACUGGAAUUCCUGGUGUAGCGGUGGAAUGCGCAGAUAUCAGGAGGAACACCGGUGGCGAAGGCGGGUCUCUGGGCCGGAACUGACGCUGAGGAGCGAAAGCGUGGGGAGCGUACA
Molecule: ribosomal RNA, 207 nt
Filed under: uncultured bacterium
Lineage: Bacteria
Description: partial 16S ribosomal RNA
Rfam family: Bacterial small subunit ribosomal RNA
Source: RNAcentral